Molecule: ribosomal RNA, 445 nt
Filed under: uncultured bacterium
Lineage: Bacteria
Description: bacterial SSU rRNA
Rfam family: Bacterial small subunit ribosomal RNA
Source: RNAcentral
CCAGACUCCUACGGGAGGCAGCAGUGGGGAAUAUUGCACAAUGGGGGGAACCCUGAUGCAGCGACGCCGCGUGGGUGAAGGAGCACCUCGGUGCGUAAAGCCCUAUCGGCAGGGAAGAAACAGACGGUACCUGACUAAGAAGCCCCGGCUAACUACGUGCCAGCAGCCGCGGUAAUACGUAGGGGGCGAGCGUUAUCCGGAUUCACUGGGCGUAAAGGGAGCGCAGGCGGCACGGCAAGUCCGGUGUGAAAGCCCGGGGCUCAACCCCGGGACUGCCCUUGGAACUGCUUGGCUGGAGUGCGGGAGGGGCAGGCGGAAUUCCUGGUGUAGCGGUGAAAUGCGUAGAUAUCAGGAGGAACACCGGCGGCGAAGGCGGCCUGCUGGACCGCUACUGACGUUGAGGCUCGAAAGCGUGGGGAGCGAACAGGAUUAGAUACCCGCGUAC